GGCCGCGUAGCUCAGUUGGUUAGAGCGCCGCCCUGUCACGGCGGAGGUCACCAGUUCAAGUCUGGCCGUGGUCGCUA
Molecule: transfer RNA, 77 nt
Filed under: Bifidobacterium sp.
Lineage: Bacteria; Bacillati; Actinomycetota; Actinomycetes; Bifidobacteriales; Bifidobacteriaceae
Description: tRNA-Asp
Rfam family: tRNA
About the family: Transfer RNA (tRNA) molecules are approximately 80 nucleotides in length. Their secondary structure includes four short double-helical elements and three loops (D, anti-codon, and T loops). Further hydrogen bonds mediate the characteristic L-shaped molecular structure. tRNAs have two regions of fundamental functional importance: the anti-codon, which is responsible for specific mRNA codon recognition, and the 3' end, to which the tRNAs corresponding amino acid is attached (by aminoacyl-tRNA synthetases). tRNAs cope with the degeneracy of the genetic code in two manners: having more than one tRNA (with a specific anti-codon) for a particular amino acid; and 'wobble' base-pairing, i.e. permitting non-standard base-pairing at the 3rd anti-codon position.
Source: RNAcentral